This 254-nucleotide ribosomal RNA is filed under the name uncultured bacterium. Its description in RNAcentral is "partial 16S ribosomal RNA". It matches the Rfam family "Bacterial small subunit ribosomal RNA", at positions 524 to 776 of the family's 1533-position model. The record is from RNAcentral.
UACGUAGGCAGCGAGCGUUGUUCGGAAUUACUGGGCGUAAAGAGUGUGUAGGCGGUGCUCUAAGUUCCGUGUGAAAUCCCCAGGCUUAACCUGGGAAGUGCGCGGAAAACUGGCGAGCUUGAGUGCCGGAGAGGGUCGCGGAAUUCCCGGUGUAGAGGUGAAAUUCGUAGAUAUCGGGAGGAACACCAGUGGCGAAGGCGGCGACCUGGACGGACACUGACGCUGAGACGCGAAAGCGUGGGGGAGCAAACAGG